Molecule: ribosomal RNA, 520 nt
Filed under: Candida tropicalis
Lineage: Eukaryota; Fungi; Ascomycota; Pichiomycetes; Serinales; Debaryomycetaceae
Description: eukaryotic LSU rRNA
Rfam family: Eukaryotic large subunit ribosomal RNA
Source: RNAcentral
AUAUCAAUAAGCGGAGGAAAAGAAACCAACAGGGAUUGCCUUAGUAGCGGCGAGUGAAGCGGCAAAAGCUCAAAUUUGAAAUCUGGCUCUUUCAGAGUCCGAGUUGUAAUUUGAAGAAGGUAUCUUUGGGUCUGGCUCUUGUCUAUGUUUCUUGGAACAGAACGUCACAGAGGGUGAGAAUCCCGUGCGAUGAGAUGAUCCAGGCCUAUGUAAAGUUCCUUCGAAGAGUCGAGUUGUUUGGGAAUGCAGCUCUAAGUGGGUGGUAAAUUCCAUCUAAAGCUAAAUAUUGGCGAGAGACCGAUAGCGAACAAGUACAGUGAUGGAAAGAUGAAAAGAACUUUGAAAAGAGAGUGAAAAAGUACGUGAAAUUGUUGAAAGGGAAGGGCUUGAGAUCAGACUUGGUAUUUUGUAUGUUACUUCUUCGGGGGUGGCCUCUACAGUUUAUCGGGCCAGCAUCAGUUUGGGCGGUAGGAGAAUUGCGUUGGAAUGUGGCACGACUUCGGUUGUGUGUUAUAGCCUU